ACCGCUAUGUUCUGUUUAAAUAUUUCGUAAAGAGCUCCUUGAGUCCAUCCACUUCUCUCCAUCUGCAGGUGAGGAGUACCAGAAAAGUAGCUGCUGAAUCAGAAAGAUGCAAUGGUUCUACUGUUUAUUUCUAUCAAGAAUUUGCCUUCCCUGCUUUGAAAAAUUUAGAACUGUCUUCAGUUUUAUGAAGGAAAUAAUAAUAGGCAGAAGAUGACAGGCAGAAGAGGAGGAGACAAUGUAAUUGUGGAGGCGGAGAUUGGAGUGAUGGGAUCACAGCCAAGGAACGCUGGAGCCACCAGAUAUGCGAGGAGGCAGAGAAUGCAUUCUCCCCCAGAACCUCUGCAGAUGCUUGAUUUGAGCCUAGUAAAACUAGUGCUGUCCUCCUAGCCUCCAGAACUGAGAUGGAGCUGACUGUUAGAUGCCUAGAGCACAGAGAGAAACUCUUGGAGAAGCUUCGAGGUCAAGA
Long non-coding RNA from Saimiri boliviensis boliviensis (Bolivian squirrel monkey), 466 nucleotides. RefSeq lists it as uncharacterized. NCBI's taxonomy places the organism in Eukaryota, Metazoa, Chordata, Mammalia, Primates, Cebidae. The record is from RefSeq and is a predicted model, not a curated record.